AACUUCUGAGCAGGCUCUGCAGUGGUGCUGCUGGGCUUCUUCUGCUUUCCUUCUAGAGCAAGAGCGUGGCUUCUUCACCCGGCAUUCCUGGGAGAGAUGAAGGCUUUCAACACAGGCCCUGCCCUCCCUUACAGUGCUACAAUCCUCCCAGCUCUCACCCACCGCACCAGGUCACCCAGGGUAAAAUGGGGAAAGAUGAGAAGUCCUUCUGCCUGCACCAUCCAGACAUUCAGCUUACCGAGGGCUGCUUCUGGGGGUCUGCAGUGAGCAAGCAUUAAAAGCAAGGUGCAGGCACGCCUCUGAUGAAUGCAAAUAGAGGUUGGGCUGUGGUUUGGGAUGUGGAAUCCAGAUGCAUUUUUACAGAGACAGCGACAGGCUCCGAUCCCCAGCACAGCUUCUGUGCCAAGUGUCUCCUCUGUUCCAGCCUCUCUCAGUGCAGAAGUGCUCUUCAAAAUAAAGAGACACAAAGCUUAAACAUUCAUGAAAUUACUUCUUCAGCUUUAAUCUCCAUGAAAUAUGACCGCGCAUUUAAUGAAGGGCUGUGUUGUGUGUGUUUGUGUGUGUAACUUUUCCCUUUUGCUCCCUUCUGAAAAGAAAAAAAAAAAAGAAAAAAAAAAAAGAAAAAAGAAAAGAGAAACAACUUGAGAGAGCAAUUAUGGAAAAUUUCAGGCUUAAUGGUUAAAGCGUGGCCAACUGGUAAAGUAAUUGGAAACACAAGGGUAGAAAGGAAAGUGUUUGGCAACACGGGUAUUGUGCUUUGGGAUGAAAGGUGCUAUGUAACUGGAGGACUCUUUUUUAUUGCAAGCUCUCCUCUCUGAUGUGUUAAUUGUGU
This 832-nucleotide long non-coding RNA is filed under the name Gallus gallus (chicken). RNAcentral's name for it is "long non-coding RNA NONGGAT004628". The record is from RNAcentral. Lineage: Eukaryota; Metazoa; Chordata; Aves; Galliformes; Phasianidae.